Molecule: long non-coding RNA, 788 nt
Filed under: Oryza sativa (Asian cultivated rice)
Lineage: Eukaryota; Viridiplantae; Streptophyta; Magnoliopsida; Poales; Poaceae
Description: long non-coding RNA (OSAT_LNC001151)
Source: RNAcentral
UAGCAAAAUUGUGUGAUGUGCAUGGACUGUGUGGCGAGAAUGGUAUAUGUGAGUUCUUGCCAAGCUUCAAGUGUUCUUGUCCCCCUGGAUAUGAGAUGAGAGAUCCAACAAACUGGAGCAGAGGUUGUCGUCCACUAUUCAGCAAAAACUGCAGCAAAAUAGAAGAAUAUGAGUUCUUCAAGCUCGCUCAAACCGACUUUUAUGGCUUCGAUCUAAUCAUCAACCAAUCCAUCUCACUUAAAGAAUGUAAAAAGACUUGCUUGGACAUCUGCUCCUGCUCAGCAGUCACGUAUAAGACAGGGUCUGGAACUUGUUACAUCAAAUAUGUACUCUUCAAUGGCUACAGCUCCACAAAUUUUCCGGGUGAUAACUACAUCAAACUACCCAAGAAUAUGGUUUCCAAACAGUCCGAUCUCUCAUGCAACCCAACCAAAGAGAUUGUACUAGGAUCUUCAAGUAUGUAUGGAAUGAAUGAUGCAAAUAAAAAUUAUGCAACCUAUUAUGUGUUUGCAGCAGUAUUGGGAGCUCUAGUGCUAAUCUUCACAGGUACAAGCUGGUGGUUUCUUUACAGCAAGCACAACAUACCCAUGUCAAUGGAGGCAGGCUACAGGAUGGUAACAAGCCAAUUCAGGAUGUUCACGUACCGAGAAUUAAGGGAGGCAACUGGAAAGUUCAAGGAAGAGAUUGGAAGAGGAGCCUCUGGUAUUGUUUACAGAGGAGUACUUGAAGAUAAGAGAGUGAUAGCCGUGAAGAGGCUAAUGAAUAUUUCACAUGGUGAGGAGGAAUUC